AGGGUGCCCAGACCGCUGCGGUGUAUGCCCUCACCUUCCAGACCGUGGAAGCCUCCAGCUCUGCACGCCAUUCAGAAGAAGACCCCACGAAGAGGUCCAGAGGGUGCUGGCGUGUUGAGACGACACGCUCUCCUUGGAUGCACUCAUCGCGAUGGCCAUAAGUCUGGAUAACCUUCUUCUGUAAUGUCGCCACCUUCAUCGCCUCUUGCCAUCCUCCUUUGGUUGUCCUGAGAGAGAGCCUGAAUCCACGGAGGUAGGGUCUACACACCUCCCUGUGGUAGAGUUACGCCGCCAGACACAGCUGGGCCUAUUGCGGUCAGGAGGGGCACCAGCCUCAACGGUGUCCGUUGCGUCUUAACCAGGGGUCCACGAGGACAGAGGGACAGCCCUGUGAUCACCCGUCUCUCAGGGUUGGUUCCAAGCCCUGGAUAAGCGACCAUUGGGAUCUAGCACAAUCUCACACAGCACCCCUCAACCUCACCGUGGGACCCAUGCACCAGGAAAACCUUCCCUUCCUCUUCACCACCGCACCGGUACACAAAGUAAUCCUCAGCCUCCCGUGGUUCUAACAUCACAACCCCAUCAUCUCCUGGUCAAGGAUGAAAAUCACCGCUUGGGGACUAUGAUGCUUUCUCGUACCCUGUGGUUCCAUGCCGGUUGAGAGUCUUGACCUGAGCCCUAGGACCAUGCCUCAGGACUACCUGGCAUGAUGACUCCUUGCUGUACCCAGUCCACCUGGCCGUGCUGCUGCUCCAGUUUCAACUGUUCUGCCAGUGGCUAUGGAAUCCUGACCUGUUCACCGGACAUGCUACCUGUCCCAGACAUGCUGUUUUCAGCUCUCUAGAGACAGCAGGAGUGGUAGAGAUCCUCUUAAUGAUCGGCUAUGAAAAGCCAACUGACAUUUACUCCUGAGGUGCUGACUUGCUGCACCCUCGACAACUACUGUGAUUGUUAUUAUUUGACCAUGCUGGUCAAUUAUGAACAUUUGAACAUCUUGGCCAUGUUCUGUUAUAAUCUCUACCCGGCACAGCCAGAAGAGGACUAGCCACCCCUCAUAGCCUGGUACCUCUCUUGGUUUCUACCUAGGUUUUGGCCUUUCUAGGGAGUUUAUCCUAGCCACCGUGCUUCUACACCUGCAUUGCUUGCUGUUUGGGGUUUUAGGCUGGGUUUCUGUACAGCACUUUGAGAUAUCAGCUGAUGUACGAAGGGCUAUAUAAAUACAUUUGAUUUGAUAUUUAGGCAGCUUUUUCCCACCG
This is a long non-coding RNA of Oncorhynchus tshawytscha (Chinook salmon), 1256 nucleotides long. NCBI's taxonomy places the organism in Eukaryota, Metazoa, Chordata, Actinopteri, Salmoniformes, Salmonidae. The record is from Ensembl.